RNAcentral lists this transfer RNA (58 nucleotides) under Dipodomys ordii (Ord's kangaroo rat). It matches the Rfam family "tRNA", at positions 8 to 63 of the family's 71-position model. Rfam says of the family: Transfer RNA (tRNA) molecules are approximately 80 nucleotides in length. Their secondary structure includes four short double-helical elements and three loops (D, anti-codon, and T loops). The record is from Rfam by way of RNAcentral. Lineage: Eukaryota; Metazoa; Chordata; Mammalia; Rodentia; Heteromyidae.
UGGCUCAGUGGUAGAGCGCUUGCCUUGAAUGCAUGAGGCCCUGGGUUUGAUUCCUCAG